GGCCAUGGCAUAUAACCUACGCAAGAUGAGCUUCAGAUUGAGUAGCAAUUCACUAUAUUUGCUUAAUUCUUGUCUGCAAAAAUUUUGCUCACAAAUUCAUAAGGCUGUACAAAAGAUUCAAAAACCACAUGAUCCUUUAUGACAAGCUAUCCAAAAGAAAAUCUUCACAGAUGUCAAUGUGGGCGUAUGACAGAAAAUUAUAAUGUCAUUCAUAGUAGUGCUAGUUACAAGUAGGAUUCUUGACAUGUAGAGAGCUAUUUGACUAAUUGACUAUAUCAUUUACAAGGAAAUCCUAAUUACAGCUAAAACCAAAAUUAGUGCUUUAUAUCCCCACAAUCGUCAUCUCAUCUUACGCUUCCCUCUCCGAAUGAGGGCUGUGCUUGCUCGAGUAUUAUCACUCUCAGGCGAUGAGUCUUCCACAACUGUUUCUUCUUGUAACACCAAGCCACGGUUCCUGGACAACUUCCUAAUGGGAGUAGUCGGUCCUGCUUCUUGAGAUUCUUCAAACGUUAGAUUUUGUUGGCUAUCAUAUGCUAGGUUUAUUUGAUUCCUAUUUGGCAUUAACUCCUCCCCAACACCAACCAAUGAAGUCAUUAACUUCCAAUCCUUGAAGUCGAGUUUGAAGACAAAGUGCCUGUAUACAACCUCCCCUGAUAUAACUGCACAGGCAGCAGCCGCAUUCCUUGGAGAAACUAGAUGCCAGCCAUUCUCAUUCACUUUUAUUUCAGCUCGCCCAUCUUUAACUAGAAAUGACAAAGUAAACAAAUUCUCCACGGUCUGUGCAAAUGAGUUUCUAUUCAACACUAAAUUUUCGAGCUUGACACUUUUUUUCUUCCUUAAAAUAUUAAACAUUGUUGCCAUAUUGUUGUCUGUAUCCAUUCUUUCUUUUGCCAAAUGGUCAUCAACAACCUCUUCAGGCUGAAUACUCUCAGUUGGUUUCACACGUUUUCUAACAGCAGCCUUCCGUACCUUUAAUUCAGUAUCUGCAGCCCCAAUCAUUGUAUAGCACCCAGGACAGCUCCUAAAUAUAUGAGAUACUGCAACUCCAAUAUUGUUCCAGCCUAGUAAGACCCUGCCAGCUUCUGCGCUGCUGCUAGGCCCACCUUGUUGCCCAAAUUCUCUAAGGAGACAAGUUAUAUAAUCCGAGGCAGUUAUUCCAUCAUUGCCCUGUGCCUUGACAUAGGUGACCAACGACUUUGUGAUGUCUAAAAGGGCCUCUGCAUCAGCAACUUGUUCUCUUGGUUUCUGUACUGAAAUUCAUAAUGGGGGGUGGGAGUGUUAAACAACAGUUAAUGAAAUCACAAGCAACUACUAACAUCCUAAAAAAUGAUAAUGCAAUGAAAACGGAAUCAAACAAAUGUCAUUAGCAAAUAAUAUAAUCACUUUUCAUUUACUCCACAAACAAACCAAUCAGAGUAACGAAUGGGGUAUAAAAACAAAAACAGAUAAUUACCAGACAUCAAGAUUGCUCCACGACUAGCAAUGAGUGGCAAAAAACUCGAUUCUCUAAUCUUAAAAUGAAGAGAAAAACUAAAUGCAUCCAUCUUAACCAGAUUACAAAUUUAAUCAGCAACACAAAUUAAACAACAACUGCCAAUCACUAAACAGAAAACAAUAAUGAAUACCUAGCUGGUGCAAGCUUUCUACUUCAUGAAAGAUUGAUCGGAACUUAUCAGAAUCAACCUUUCCAAUAUCGUCUCUUUCGUCAAUAAUGAGGUUCUUCACGGCGAGGUACCGUGCUCGAAGAGCAGCGCCACCGGCCGCGACUGCACGGCCAGAUUCACUCGUAUCGGCUUCACCAUCAUCUGCUCGAGUACUACUAACGUUAACACUGGUAGCAGCAGAAGCAUUUCCCGGUUCUGGUUUCACUGGUGGGGGCAUGGAUAUUGGAUUGCGUCCUGAAAUUGGAACAACUUCCAGAACAAGAAACGAAAGAGGAGAAGUUGAAGAGGUCAAAGGUCGUGAUUAAUGGAAUAUUGGAAUUGGAAAACCCUAAAUUCUGAAACUGAGAAAUCGUUAAAGCCCUGCAAUGGAGAGAUUUGAAGAGUCGUUUUCCCUCCUUCCACUCUUCCCAGCCG
This 2078-nucleotide unclassified non-coding RNA is filed under the name Hevea brasiliensis (rubber tree). Lineage: Eukaryota; Viridiplantae; Streptophyta; Magnoliopsida; Malpighiales; Euphorbiaceae. The record is from RNAcentral.